GAUCAUGCUCAGGAUGAACGCUAGCGGCAGGCCUAACACAUGCAAGUCGAGGGGCAGCACGGUGUAGCAAUACACUGGUGGCGACCGGCGCACGGGUGCGUAACGCGUAUGCAACCUACCCAUAACAGGGGGAUAACACUGAGAAAUUGGUACUAAUACCCCAUAACAUCAGGACCGGCAUCGGUUCUGGUUGAAAACUCCGGUGGUUAUGGAUGGGCAUGCGUUGUAUUAGCUGGUUGG
This 240-nucleotide ribosomal RNA is filed under the name uncultured bacterium. RNAcentral describes it as "partial 16S ribosomal RNA". It matches the Rfam family "Bacterial small subunit ribosomal RNA", at positions 15 to 252 of the family's 1533-position model. The record is from RNAcentral.